CUACACUGCAGCCAGCUGAAGCCAUUGUACUCCCCUGAAACGGAGAUCCUUUGCAGCUGUGCGGAUAGGCAGCCCUUGAUUCAAGUUUGGUAUUUGCCCCAGACUGUAGGGGUCAGCUUAACAGUAACCAUAGACACAAAGAAAGAGAGAACAGCGCACACAGAAAAUGGCACUCCAAGUGUGUCCGAGUUUGUGGCAACGGAACAUUGUCAAGUACAGCUACCAUUCACAAUCACCUUAGACGACGUUGAUGCAGAAAGGCUUCUCACACUGGAACGCAGAUGAAUCCUCUUCAUUAGCAGAGGAACCUGACACACAAGACAGCUUGCUUCCCUGUCCACCGCCCACAGCUCAGGAGAGGACAGACUAUCUGAGCUUGAAGACUACAAACCCAGAGGAACAGGAACCAUCAAAGAGACAAAAGAUAAAAUAAUAGUUAGGUCGCCAGUGGGAAUUUCAAGAUCUACUCAAUAGUCUGAAAACUAUCGAUGAGCAAUAGGAGGAGAAGAUCUUUCUAAAAGCAGAGAAGACAUCUAAAAUAGAACCACGACAGGAAAAUUCCUAGAGUUAGAAAAGGAGAUGCCAAAAUCAGAUACAGGAAGUGCUUCGGACACCAAAAAGUCAAAACCCCAAAAGAAAACUUCCCCUUACCAUACUACAAUUAGAGCUUUGCAUACAGAGAACAAAGGAAGAAUGUUGCCAGCAGAAAGAGAAAUCCAAGUCACGCACAUAGCAGAACUGUCAGAGUGGCGGCAGAAGAUUAACAGAAUCUUUAAAUGCCAGAAGAACUUGGAAUGAUGGAGCCCAAACUCUGAGAGCCAGCUGCCAGCCCAAACUACUAUACUCAGCUAAGCUGUUAGAAUUGAACGAUAAUUGAAAACUUUUCAUUAAAAAGGAGUCUGCGAACUUUAAACCAGCUCCGCAGAAGACACUUGAAGGAAGUCUUUGGACUAAAAAGAAAAACAAGGCUACCUAGGAGACUACAGGGAAGAAAAACCAUGCUACAAAGAAGAGUUGGGCAAAAGAGCCAAGCAAACCAGCAGAACAACGGGAUUCAAACACAACUUCCUUUUAAAACAUUUAUUGUGGGGGCUGGAGAGAUGGCUCAGUGGUUAAGAGCACCCAACUGCUCUUCCAGAGGUCCUGAGUUCAAUUCCCAGCAACCACAUGGUGGCUCACAACCAUCUGUAAUGAGAUCUGAUGCCCUCUUCUUCUGGUGUGUCUGAGGACAGCUACAGUGUACUUAUAUAUAAUAAAUGAAUAAAUCUUUAAAAAAAAAACAUUUAUUGUGGAGCCAGAGAGAUGGCAUGGCAGUUAAGUGAACAGGCUGCUCUUCCGGAGACCCUGGGCUCAGUUUCUAGCAUGCACAUGGUCGUUCACAACCAUUUGCCAUCUCCAGUUCUAGGGGACCCAGCACAUUUUUCAGGUCCCCAAGGCAGUUACCAGACGCACGUACGGCAUACAGACAUACAUGCAGGCAAAACACCUACAUAAAAUAAAAAAUUUUACUGUUUUGCAUGUGUGUGUCUAUAUACCACAAGCAUGCCUGGUGACCCAGGAAGCCAGAGAGGGCAUCGGAUCCCUGGAACUGAAGUUAUAGAUGGUUUCGAGCCGCCAUGUGGUUGUGAGGAAUCAAACCCAGGUCCUCUAGAAGAGCAGCCAGUGCUCUUAAUCACGGAGCCAUCUCUCCAGCCUUCUACACCCAUAUUUCAAUCUCGACCAUGAAUAUUGUUGGUCUAAAUUCCCCAAUCAAGACUCUAGAUUAGAUUAAAAAGCAGAAAGCAUAUAUUUGCUGACUCUACAAAAUGCACCUCACUGCAAAAGCUAGACACGCCCUUCUGGUGAGAGGAUCGGGGGACAUCCCAAGCAAAUGGACCCAGUAAAAAGCAGAUGUCACAGUUCUCGGACCUGACAAAACAGAAUUUAAACCAGAAUGGGCAAGAAGAGGUAUAGACGGUCACUUCCUAUUGGAUCAGGGAACAAUCAAAGGAUAGACUAUCACUCGCUAUUGGUUCAAGGAACAACCAAUCAGAGGACACUACAAUUCUUAACGCAUAUACCCUAAAAGGAGAUGAAAACAAUUUUUGAAAACAAAUACUAUUAUAUGUAAAGCCAUAGAUUAACCCUAGCACAGGAGUAAUGUGUGACUUCAAUAUCCUACUCUUACAAGUUGACAGGUAUUUCUGACAAAACGCAGAGAACUAUGUGAAUUAAAUGAAAUGCUAGAUCAAGCAGACUUAACAGAAAUCUACAGAACAUUCUAUCUAAACACUUCAGAAUACACAUUUUUUUUUUCUCUCAGCGUCCUUUGGAAGUUUCUUUCAAUUAGAUUGUACAUUAAGACACAAAGCAAUUUUGGAAAUCGGAUGAAAUUCAUUAUAUUCUAUUUGAUCACAAUGGAAUGAGACUACAAAUCAGUGGUGAGAGGAACCCUAGAAUGCACACAAAACUCCUGGGGUUCAUACAGCACACUGUCGAAUGGUAAAGGGAUACUUGAAAAAUCUAAUAAGUACACGCUAAAUUUCCCAGAAUCAAAUGAAAAUAAAAACACACUAUAACAAAACCUAUGGGAUAAAAAAACAAACAAACAAACAAAAAAACAAAACAAAACAAAAAUGACCCAAACAAAACAAAACAAAAAUGACCCAAAGAAGGGAGUUUAUAGUUCUAAAUGGCUACGUUGAGAAAUUGCAGAUAGACAGCCUAGUAAUCCAUCGUAAUAGAUUGUAAUGAUUGUAGACUGGAAAACGAAAUAAACCAAAUCUCAAACAGUAGAUGGAAAGAAAUCAUUAGCUCAGGGCCGAAGCUAAAGAAACGGAAACAAUGAUGACAUCAUAGUGCGGGAAGGUGCCAUGCCUACUACUGGAGGAGAGAAGUUAUCACCAGUCUUACCUAGCUGUGAAGACUAACCUACAAUGGGAACCAGCCAACCAUGAUGUACCCACUGGUGCAAUAGUAGCCAAACAUCAUGGGCAUAACCAACCACGUUCUGAUUGGCUUUAAGGCCCAUUCCACAAGCUAAAACCCAUACCUGGCACUACUACUGAGCUAAGAAUCUAUUGCUAGAAUACUCAUAGGUCCUAGUGGGCAACACAUUAUUAUUCUGAUAAAUGGGCACGGUAUUAAUCUUGCAACGACCUGUCAUUAUGUGAUAGAUUAGUGCAACUCUCAACCCUCAUCAGAGUAACUUCUCUUCUCAGAUGGUGAUUAACAAGAAGGCCACAACUGAUCAAGGUGCAGAGGCUGGGGGAACAUGGGAUGCUCAGCCCCGAAUGGAACAUCUACCUCACGCCUUCUCUUCCCAAGGCUGAGGAGAGGGGUCAGAAAAAUUACAAGAGCCAGAGGUCCUGGAAGACUAAAAGGUAGUAGUGUUUUCCAGACAGGAAAACAGGGCAGUUGUACAUAUGAACAUGACAGCGCACACACAAGACCUGCACGGGCUCAAGACAGACACAAUCCCAGCACGGAGAGGGAGGUGGGUACGAAGUCCCACCGUAGCUUAGGAGCUAUUCGCAAUCAAUAACUGCUGGGUGAAGAAUCAGUUCCCUUUAAGGGUGUGGCACCUGGUAGGCUGCCCAAGCUCGUGUGGGAAAACACACAUCUACAAGCAACACAAAUGCCACUCAAAGGAAGGGAGCACAGAUUCAACCAGGUGGGGAGGUGGGGUGGGUCUGGGAGGGAUCAGGGUAGGAGAGUGAAUAUGAUCAAACUGCACUGUAUGAAGUUCUUUUUUGUUUUGUUUUGUUUUGUUUUUCAAGACCGGGUGUGAUGGUUGGUAUGUGCUCAGCCCAGGGAAUGGCACUAUUAGAAGGCGUGGCCCUAUUGGAGUAGGUGUGUCCUUGUUGGAGUAAGUGUGUCACUGUGGGCGUGGGCUUUAAGACCCUCAUCCUAUAUGCCUAGAAGCCAGUAUUCUGCAGGCAACCUUCAGAUGAAGACAUAGAACUCUUAGCUCCUCCUGCACCAGGCCUGCUUGGAUGCUGCCAUGUUCCUGCCUUGAUGAUAAUGGACUGAACCUCUGAACCUGUAAGCCAG
This is a long non-coding RNA of Rattus norvegicus (Norway rat), 4032 nucleotides long. RefSeq lists it as uncharacterized. Lineage: Eukaryota; Metazoa; Chordata; Mammalia; Rodentia; Muridae. The record is from RefSeq and is a predicted model, not a curated record.